GACGAACGCUGGCGGCGUGCUUAACACAUGCAAGUCGAGCGGUAAGGCCCUUUCGGGGGUACACGAGCGGCGAACGGGUGAGUAACACGUGGGUGACCUGCCCUCAGCUCUGGGAUAAGCCCGGGAAACUGGGUCUAAUACCGGAUAUGACUCCAUGACGCAUGUUGUGGGGUGGAAAGCCCUGUGCGGCUGAGGAUGGGCCCGCGGCCUAUCAGCUUGUUGGUGGGGUGAUGGCCACCAAGGCGACGACGGGUAGCCGGCCUGAGAGGGCGACCGGCCACACUGGGACUGAGAUACGGCCCAGACUCCUACGGGAGGCAGCAGUGGGGAAUCUUGCGCAAUGGGCGAAAGCCUGACGCAGCGACGCCGCGUGAGGGAUGACGGCCUGGUGU
RNAcentral lists this ribosomal RNA (392 nucleotides) under uncultured bacterium. Its description in RNAcentral is "bacterial SSU rRNA". It matches the Rfam family "Bacterial small subunit ribosomal RNA", at positions 28 to 422 of the family's 1533-position model. The record is from RNAcentral.